UAUGACAUUCAAAAUGCACAUACAAAUUUAAAGUAAUUUAAUCAUACAUCACAUGCAUAAAUAAAAAAAACACCCUAAAAUGGACUGAUUUUUGGCUCCUAAAUUAAGCUAAGUGCUAAAUUAUUACAUAAUUAAUUUGGUGUAGUACAGAACCACUCCCAAAAAUUUCGAACCGGCUAAAAAACCAACCGAACCGCUUGAACCGGCCCAAAAACCAAAUUUAUUGGCUUGAACCGGCCCAGGCGCACACGGGUCGUGCGAAGGCAGGCGCGCGGGCGAAGGCGGGCGCGCGGGCGCAUGCGGGCGCGCGGACACAUGCGCGCGCGGCGCGCAUGCAGGGCGCGCGGCGCAGGAGGCGCGCGGGCGCAGGAGGCGCGGGCGCAGGAGGCGCGCGGCGCAGGAG
RNAcentral lists this long non-coding RNA (403 nucleotides) under Cucumis sativus (cucumber). Its description in RNAcentral is "long non-coding RNA (CSAT_LNC000176)". Lineage: Eukaryota; Viridiplantae; Streptophyta; Magnoliopsida; Cucurbitales; Cucurbitaceae. The record is from RNAcentral.